This is a long non-coding RNA of Drosophila montana, 541 nucleotides long. RefSeq lists it as uncharacterized. The record is from RefSeq and is a predicted model, not a curated record. NCBI's taxonomy places the organism in Eukaryota, Metazoa, Arthropoda, Insecta, Diptera, Drosophilidae. The transcript has 4 exons.
CAUUUGAAAACUUGUUAGUAUUUAUGUUUGAAUCUAUACAAUUAAGUUAAAUUGUAAAACGUAUCUGAAAUCGCGAAGUGUAAAUUUGAUAAACAGGAUGUGUCUUUGUGAAAGCUGUGAGUGUAUGGAUAACCUCUGUUGUUCGCUAAAGGCAAAAGCCUUGUUUUUUUCAAUCUGGACAAUUGUAAAUGGCAUAUUGGCAAUAAUCGUUUGUCUUUUUAUUAGAACUGAUUUUUGGACUAUCCUUUUUUGUUACUUUUUAGUAGGCAUGCAUAUAUUGGCCGGUAUUAUCUUGUUGCUGGGCGUUCUUAGAAGCUGGGCAUUAAUAUUUCUUGCUGGCAUCAUCUUAAGCUCAUUUCUACCAUAUGUAUUUUUAUUUUUACCUUAUCUAGCAGUUGUUCAAGUUAUCUUUACAAUAACCUCAUGCAGAUAUUACAGUCUUGAAUUAAAAUAGAUAUGGGUAGAGUCAGUGUAUUGAAUGAUUGUCGUGUAAAUAAAUUUUUGGUUAAUAAAUACUUUCGGCUUCAGUGACAAAAUAAAA